Molecule: ribosomal RNA, 2007 nt
Filed under: Triticum aestivum (bread wheat)
Lineage: Eukaryota; Viridiplantae; Streptophyta; Magnoliopsida; Poales; Poaceae
Description: partial small subunit ribosomal RNA
Source: RNAcentral
AUGGAUCGCUCCCGCUCGAAGCGCGGGUACCACUACGACCAGGACUCGCCGCCGCCCCGCUCCAAGCCCCGAUUCGACCGCCGCGGCGGGGGCGGCGGCCCGAACCCUAACGCCAACUACCACCGCCGCGGACCCCCCGGGGGCGGCGGCGGCGCCUCCGACCGCCGCGGCGGCUUCCUUCCCCCGGACGCCGCACCGCCCCCUCUCCCGCCCCCGCCGCCGCCCGCUUCCUCCGCGGCGGCGGGGGGCGGGGGUCCCGGCCAGACCACCUCCUUCCGCAUCCUGUGCCCGGAGUCCAAGACCUACGGCUUCCCCGCCAGCUUCAUUAACAACGCCCAGGAUGACAGUGGCGCGAUCAUCACUAUCCACCCGCCCUUCCCCGGGGACCCUGUCCGCGUCAUCGAGACGGCCGACGGCGUCCCACGCGAGGCGGAUGGCCGCCCGCCGAUGUUCUCGCCGGCGCAGGAGGCGCUCCUCAUGGUGCACCGGCGGAUCCUGGAGACGCAGCCUGACGACGGCGAUGAGGACGGCGAGUACGGGCCCAGGGGCAAGGACGCCAGGGACCGCGGUAAGGUGACCACCCGGCUCAUCGUGCCGCGGCAGCAUGUGGGAUGCCUGCUUGGCAAGGGUGGCAAGAUCAUCGAGCAGAUGAGGUCCGAGACCAAGACGCACAUCAGGAUCCUGCCUCGCGAGCAGAACAUGCCGCGAUGUGUAUCGUUGUCGGAGGAGGUCGUGCAGGUUGUUGGAGAAGGAAAUUGUGUUAAAAAGGCUGUAGCGAUUAUCUCUGACCGUUUAAAGGAAAGCUUACACCGUGAUCGUGGUCCCUUUCUUCGUGGACGAAAUUCACCCGAGCAUCGUAUUUCUCAGGCUGAUGAAUACCUGGGUGGUGGUCAGCAGAUGCCUGCAUUUGAAGAACCUUAUCCCCGAUUUGAUCAAAUUAGAAAUAAUGGUAGCAUGGAGCCACCAGGAUAUGAGUUUGAUUCAAAUGGUAGCAAGUUCAAUGAACAUCCAGAGAUUCCAUUCGAUGAAAUCAUAUUUCGAAUCCUUUGCCCGAAUGACAAGGCUAGCAGUUUGGUUGGAUCACGAGAUGGAAUAAUAGAUAUGUUACAGGCUGAAGUUGGUGUUGAUGUUAGGCUUACUGAUCUUAUUGCUGGAUCUGACGAAAGGACUCUAAUCAUUACAUCAAGAGAGGGCCCAGACCAUGAGCUUUUUCCAGCUCAAGAAGCAUUGCUGCACAUCCAAACCUUUAUCGUGGAUCUUGGCCCUGACAAGGAUAACAUUAUCACAACGAGGUUACUUGUCCCUUCAAGUGAAAUUGCUUGCUUUGAGGGGAGGGAUGGAUCAUUAUCUGAGAUACAGAGACAAACUAGCGCAAAUAUACAGAUAUUACCAAGAGAAGAACUUCCUUCUUGCGCCCUGGAAUCUGAUGAGCUCAUACAGAUUGUAGGAGAGAUUCGAGCUGCUCGGAAUGCUCUCAUGCAAGUAACUUCAAAACUACGAAGUUACAUAUACCGUGAGAUGUCUGCUCCUAUCCAAAUGGGCAGCCUUAAUGUACAUGGAUCCAUUUCUCCAGCAAAAGGCUCACCUCGACUAUAUGCUGGAAAUGACCUUCCAAUGCCUAUCUACCAACAAGCACCACAAAUGGCAACUUCGUGGCACUCAAAGGAUAGUGGACUUAGUGCAAGUGGAUCGUUUGAGCAAGGGAGCAGCAUUAAUGAUGAUAUAAGACAAACUAAUACAAAGCGAUUUGCUGUCCCCCUAGUGACUAGAAGCACAUUAGAAGUUGUCAUACCCCAGAGUGCAGUUGCAAGCCUCAGCAUGAGAGCUGGAAGCAAGCUUGCCCAAAUAAGCGAGAUGUCUGGUGCGUCCGUCACGCUCGCUGAAGAUAGGCCUGGAGUCAUGGAAAAGGUUGUUAGAAUAUCCGGUACCCCCGAGCAGGCUGACAAAGCUCAGAGCUUGCUCCAGGGGUUCAUACUUAGCAUCCAAGACGACAUUCCUUCGGGCUAA